RNAcentral lists this long non-coding RNA (12516 nucleotides) under Prunus persica (peach). RNAcentral's name for it is "long non-coding RNA (PPER_LNC004289)". The record is from RNAcentral. Lineage: Eukaryota; Viridiplantae; Streptophyta; Magnoliopsida; Rosales; Rosaceae.
UGAGUGAUGUCAUAUGGCCCUAAAAAUUGGGGCCUCCUAUAUAACCUUUUAGUCCAAGAAUUAUAGUAGCAAAAACGGUAUUUUAUUUGUAUAAUUCAUGCUUUUUGGGAUUUAUUCUGAAAUGUUUUUGGCAUUUUUCAUAUAGCGACUCUCUUUUAUGUAAAUUAACCAACUUAGCACCUAAACUGAGAAUUUUUUAUUUUUUAUUUGGUUUAGAAUGCGGUAAGUGUUGAACAUAAACGGCCUUAACUUUAUUUCUGCCCAGGACCUCCAAAAUCAAUGAAUCAACCCUGUUGGCAUGUCCAUCAAAGGUGCCUUCUUAUGCGUUCAAGUGACAUCAUUUUCACCUUAUGUGUAGUCUUUUUUUUUUUAUUUUUUAUUUUUAUAAUGUAUGGAAAAAAGGGAACUAAAAUGUAAUAAGGUGUGCGUUGUCUUUCUGCGUCUUGGUACAGGUGUUAAUUUUGUUGACGUGAGUUAACCUACUGAAUCAAGGAGAUUUAUUUCCUAAGUUAAUUAGGUUAUUUACUUCCUUGUUUUAUAUAGUUGACACAUCCUUGUAUAAUUAUGAGAUAUUCUCCUAAUUAAUUAUUGUAUCUAUUUCCUUGUAAAGCACCCUUCAAACCAAAUAUUAUAUUUUAGCACGGUAUUAGAGCAAUCGAUCCUAAGUUGUCUCUAAACCCUUAAAUCAUACCCUCAAAUUCAAACCCAAACCCUAAAUCAAAUUCCUUACCUCUCAAAUCAAAUCCUCUUGUCCAACUCCUUAAACACAUACCUCUCAAAUCAAAUUCGUAUCAAAUUUCUCAAAUCAAAUUCAUCAAAUUCUCAAAUCAACUCCUCAACCACAAACACACACACAUAUCAAAUCUUACUUCUGUUUAGAUGUUAGGACCCCUUACGAUUCUCUCCCUCCUUGCAGACUCACAUAAGCAUGCGGUCAAUCCUGCUGAACCGGUUACCUGGGCUCGUGCUUCUAUCGCCACAACCAAAGGUUCUGCUUUUCAUACGUCGUCUUCAAAGCCCAAAUGGAUUAUUGACUCGGGUGAUACAGAUCACAUGACAUUUGAUCUUGGCCAACUUAUUAGUCGCAAACCAUCCACUCAAACGGUGGUGUCUAAUGCUAAUAGUACCAUUUCCUUGUAGUUGGGAAAAGCUCUCUAUAUCUCUCUAACUGCAUACAUCUAGAUUCUAUAUUGAUUGUUCCAUUAUUGGACUAUAACUUAUUGUCUGUUGCAUAACUUACUACUACUUUGGGGUGUACUAUAACAUUUUGACUGAAUCAUUGUGUUUUUCAAGACAUCUUUAGGGGGAAGACGAUUGAUUAUGGUACUAGACGGGCACCGGAUAGUGAGACCAUGGUUGGUACCAUGGUUGGUCUAGCUUUCACAACCAAUUGAGCUAGUUCUGAGAGGCAGAAAGACAAAGUUUGGUUAUAGCAUAAAUAUCGUGGGCAUGCCUCAUUCGAUUAUCUAAAGAAGUUGUUUCCAUCAUUAUUUUUCAGUUUUGAUGUUUCCAACUUAUAGUGUGAUACGUGUGAAUUGGCCAAGAGUCAUCGUGUUCUAUUACCAUUAAGUAUAAAUAAAAGUUUGGUUAUCUUCUCCCUUAUUUAUUAUGAUGUUUGGGGGCCUGCUCAAAUCGCUACUCCGGCUGGAGCUCAAUGGGUUGUCACUUUUAUUGAUGACUGCACCAAAUGACCUGGGUUUCCCUUCUUAAAAGCAAAGGAGAAGUCAGUUUAACAUCUCAACAGUUCCAUAAAAUGGAUAUCAUCUCUACAACAUCACUGAAGCUUCGUUUUUGAAGUAAUGGAUUGAUGAGAUGCAAACCAAGUCAAGCAAUUUUAACACACGCCAACAGAAUCUUAGAGGAAUAAGAACUUAAUUUGUUGUAUUUUUUCUUUUUUUCUUGUUCUUUUUUAAGGGCCAAAUAUCAUCUAAUGACUGAAAAACUGACACCAAAUUUUAUUUAUUGGUUUUUAGGUCUAAUGGCCUCUAAACGUUGAUUCGAUUCGCAUUUGGUCUCUCAAUUUCCAAAAUCGUUCCCGUGGUCCUUCAACUUCAAUUUCUUUAGGACAAAUGGUACUGCCAUUAAUUUUGUUAUCUUUUCCGUUAAAUGCAGGGGAAAAUUAUCUUUUUAUAUUAUUUUUAAUUUCCACCAUUUGAAUAUUUCUUUCACCCAAAAACCAAAAAUAAAAACUAAAAACUAAAAAACCUUCUUCCUAUCCUCACCACAAUAACCACAACCUCUCCAACUCAACCCCACCGAAAUUUGCCCAUGUACCCCAAGAGUAAAGAAAUUUCCGAUUUUGACCCUCAACAGUACACCAUGUGCCAUGCACAUGAUCAAAUUUGAUGGCAAAACUAGUUGUCCUAAUAAAACUGAAAAUUAAGAGAUGAAAAUGAGAAUCAAGUCAAAGUUCAGGGACCACUGAACCUAAAAAUCCUUUAUUUUUUGGGUACACUACGGAAUACCCCCCUAAACUACUUCGACUGUUGCAAUUACCACCAUGAAUUAAUUUUUCAACCAAUUUAGCUCUCGUAUUAAAUUUAUUUGUCAAUUUUGCCCCUACCGUUAGCUUUUCCACAACUCCAUCCAAAUGCCAGUCAAAUAUAAGGGUAAAUUUGACGUUGUACAAGGUAUAGUAUUAAGGAAAAUAAGGAAAAUCUAAAAAAAUCAAAUAGAGAAAAAGAAAACCUCCCACCAAUUUCUUCUCCCCCAUUUCCCAACCACCACCUACAGACCACUCCUCCCUCCUCCCACCCCGCACCUGCAGAAACUGACCCAAUCUCCAACUAUAAAGAGGCUAACCAAUACAGGGUUGUGGAUGACCUUCUUUUUCACCAAGGAAUAUGCAUCUAGCAAUGCCAGCACUAAACUCCAGAUGAUUUGCAGACCCACUGAAGCAAUCAGGUAGCUGCAAAAUGAGCAUUGCCUUAAACAAAUAUUACAAUUUUUUUUUUCAGGACAAGAAAUGGCAUGUGAUGCAUCAAGAGUUGCAGAAAUCUGCCCCAUAAGCCUACAGAAUCAGGUUACACAAAACUGCACUUAGACGGCAAUUUUCUCAGAAACAUUAGAUAUCAUAAACAGAUAGAGCUAAACAAGUCAACAACAGUGAGAAAAACAAGCAUAAUGACUUCUAAGUCACUAGUUCCAAUUAUUAUAUCAUUCUAAAAUAGAAAAAGCAAUACAUCAAUGGCUCAUAUUGACGUAUUUUACGCCAAGAGCUCAUCCCAAAAUUCUAACUACGACCAACUCUAGCACUUCCGGUGCGCCAAAGAAUGAAGAAUCAAAUUGAAUCACCAUAUCACCAUUGUCAAAACCUCAAUUCAAUCAUACACUAAGCAAACACAGAAAUUAACAACAACAAAAACUACGAGAAAUUAAAAUUUUCACGAUAUCCUCUAAGUGCUUUUGCGUAUGAGAGACUAUGAGUAGUUUUUCAGAGAAUCUCUCUCCUGAUGGCGUAUCCGUAUUAAGAUUGACAAAUGUUAUCCAACGAUUAUUCUAAGUACGAUCUCUGCCUUCUUUGCCAAGCUCAUUCCUCCAGAGGAGUUCUUAGCUCCGUCUCUGUCUGAGAUUGCUAUGGUUGACGUCGCUCGGAUUUGACGGUGCUGGAGAAGUAAUUGGAGGCGUGUCAUCGGUCAACGGAGAUUGAGAUAGAGAUGAUUGCGGUGGCACCAGGGGUGAAGAAGGAUGGAGCAUCCAACGGAGAUGGAGGAAGGGAAAUUGGCGAUGGAGUUUUGGCUGAAGGUGAAUCAACGGCGAGUUGCGGUGAUGGAGUAGGCGAGGGCUGUGGUGGAGAUGACAAAGAUACAAUGGGGAAUUGGAAUAGCAGAAAAGCCAGAAGCAGAGCUCGAUAAACCUAGCCAUUAUUGAAGAAGAAGAAGAAGAAAGUUCGAGAUGCUAGUUGAUGAAGAUUGAGUUGAUUAAUAGACAAAACAAAAGGGCAAAACAGUAAUCAAACAUAGCUGCUAAAUUUAAGAAAUCGACAGCUGUCAAUUUUGGGGUUUAUUUUAGGUGUGUUUAUAUACAUUGAAUGGUAUAGGGUUUCUUUUUAGAACUAUGUCCAGGAAUGGAUAUUUAACUAAUUUUCUUUAUACAAAUUUAGUUAAAUACCCAAUCUUAGACAUAGUCUUAUAAAGACACCCUCUACCAUUUAAAAACUAUAUACACACAACAACAAAAAAUCCAAAAAUCGACAGCUGUUGAUUUUUCAAUGUAAUAGCUAUUUUUUAGUUUAUUUUUGUGUGUAAAAUAACUAUAUUGCCCUUGUAUGAUGGAUUUGAGAGAGAAAAAUCAGAUCUGCCGAAAAACCAAAUCAAAUUCAUUUUCUCCUUUCUCGGUGUUGGAGUAAGAGGCGCUGUCAUUGAAGCUUAAUCUCAGGUCCAACUAUAUUCUUCAUCUAUGGUCUACAAUUUUCAAUAUUACACCUUCGAUUUCUUAUUCUAAAAUCGUGCUUCUAUUCAUAUUUUUUUCUUUUCGGAUUGUCCGGAACCUCGAACGAACCUCGAUCAGAUGCUCCUAGCUCUACUCCUCAUCUUCGAGCUCUACUUCUCUUUCGCCACGUCGUAAUCGUCGUUGUCAUCGUCAUCAUCGUCGUUGUCGUCGUCGUUGUCAUCGUUUGGUUUGGAGUUGAGAUUUUUUAUCUUUUGCUUCAAUUACGUGUUUCUCUUCGGAUUUUAGUUGAUUUUUGGAAUGUAUUUUAAGCUUUGAUGACCGAUUUAUCUUUUGUUACUAUUUCAGUUAUGGAUCUCAUUUUUGUUUAACAAUGUACUUCUAUAACAGAGUAUUAACAAUGUACUUCUAUGACAGAGUAUUAACAAUGUAAUUCUAUGACAUAAUAGUAUUAACAAUCUAGGCUCGGCUUGUUUUCAAUACUCCGAGAAUUUUUUUUAUAAUAAAUUGUUUGGGUUUUUAAAAAAAAUCUAGGCUCGGCUUAUUUUGAGUUGGUCUAGUUUGUUCUUUCUUCAUCCUUUCUUUAGUAGACAUAUAUUAGAAAUAGCAAUAUGACAGGCAUUAAUCAACAUGACAUUACACUAGCAGUGUUACUACCCUAGACUAGAACAUUACAGGGGUGGACAUGCAUUAGAAAUAAGAUAUCAUAGAAAACUAGCAGUAUUAUUACCCUAGACUGAAACAUUAUAGGAGUAGAUAUGCAUUAGAAAUAGGAUGUCAUAGGAAACUAGCAGUGUUAUUACCCUAGACUGGAACAUUACAAGGGUAGACAUGCAUUAGAAAUAGGAUGUCAUAGGAAACUAGCAGUGUUAUUACCCUAGACUGGAACAUUACAGCCAUUAAUCAACAUGAUAGUAAAGGUGUGGAACAUUGUAGCCAUUAAGCAAGAUGACGUGUUAUUGAAGCUACGGUUUUCGAAACGUUUUGUUUAUAAUUAAUUGUUUGGGUUUUUUUUUUUUUUUUUUAUAAAAUUAGGAUGAGCUUGUUUUGGGUGCUUUUAAAGUUUUUUGUGUUGGGCUUCUUUUAAGUUGAUCAGUGGCAGUCACAUAAUUUAUAGGAACUUAAAUACCAAUUUCUUAUGUAGUAAAUGAGUUGUGGGUGUGUUUCUAAAGUGCAUUCCAUAUGAGUUUUUUUUAUAAUUCCAGUCCCUAUUUUGGAUAAAUUAGAUAAACUUCAACAGUACAAUUAAAGACAUAUCUAGAGUACCAAUUAGAAGAGGGCAACAAACUAACAUGUUAAAAACAAAACUAACGUGAAUAAAAGCUGCACUAAAAAUACUAGCCCACAUAACCAUAGUUAACCAUAAGCCCAAACAAAGCUCACAUACCCAACAUAACCAAAACCCUAAAGCAACCCAUGAGCCUAAACGAACCCUACCACCACCACUUGUCGAAGCCCCAUCGCUACCACACCCACCAACACAUCCCUAACUGGAAAAAAAAUAGUUUGCAGCGAUCUAUCUGCACAUAAGAGCAAACACAUAAACAAAAUAACUACCUUGACAAAGAAAAAUUGAGUGAUUUACAACAACCUCUGUCGAAAACAAUGUAGACCCAAAUUUAGAAAACAUGAGCAAUGUUAUAGAACGAGUUUUGUGAGAAGGAUUUGUUUGAGAAUGCCUAACAAAGAUUAUGAGGAAUUUCAAUCUAAGCAUGACUUGGAAGAAAUCAUCACAAAUGGCUUCUUAUUCUAGAGUUUUUUUAUUGUCACCAACUUUUAAGAUUAAAAUAAGAUUUAAUUACACAUACAUUCUCUGAAAUUUAGCUAAAAACACACAAAAACUAUUUUAGGAACUCUCUAUAAAAUUUGAACUCCAAUCAUACUCUCUAGUUUAAGGAAUCAUAAAUACUAUAAUUUUUUAAAACUCAAUAUAAUUGGUCCGUCACUCCUUCCUUGUUGAACAGGAGUUUUCGAAGCACCAAAGCAGCCAAGUCUUUGUCCAGAUAGGAUUGAAGCAUUCAUGCCUUUUUUAAACGGGCGUGGAACUUCAUUAUCAUCUGCCACACAGCGAGAGUAGAGAGGAAGAAUUUCUCUUGCUUUUGACUCCGUGGUGGGUUCAACACCACAUCCUCAUCAUCCAUUCUUUUUUUGGUCCUUUUUGUUUGCCUCAAACUGGUUGCAGGACCCAAACUCCUCUUACAUUGCAUACUUGAAUUUAUUUCAUUCAAGUUUUGUCUACUUUUUGUUCAAAGCCAUUAUGAAAUGCAAGCACGUGGUGGGCCUCUCUUCUUCGACCUUUUUUUCUGCAAUUGAUUGCAAGAUUGACUCCCCUUCCAAGGGGAGGCAUUCUUGCUUUGCCGUGAGCCAUAGAGAAUAUGUUUCUUUUUCUUGCUCUCUUGCUGUUGGGACUUUUGUCUCCCUGGCAGCAAUUUUGUUUGCAGCGAAGCCAGACUUGGAGCUUUUGGUAGAAAAUCUGCAGCAGGCUUAGAAAAAAAAAAGGAAGGAAAGAGAAAUAUAUAGGAAAAGAGGCCAAACCAUAUAACGUGGGUCGGCUGAUAAUUAGUCACUGACAAGUGUAUUAUUUCCUGUAUUUUUAUACCUGUUAUAUGUAGGUUUUGUUAUGGAAAGUUAAUUAAAGAGAGUACGUAUUAUUACUUUACUUUCCUUAUUUUCAGCUAUUCUGCGCUCUUGGAAGGAUUUCAAUUGAAAAUCGACUUUUCGAAUGAAUUUUAGUGCAAGGCCAAUUGUAAAAGAAAGCUAAGACAUUGAAGAUCAUUGUAUCAAGUUUCAUAAUUUUCUACCAAUCCAAAUGCUCCAGACCUGCAAGUCAAGACAGCCUAAGUUGAAAUCCUGUCAGAACUGCACUGCUGUGGAAGAUUAAAGAUUUGAAUAUCUUUCUGAUUUUUCCUAGUGGCGUGUAAUAUAUGCUUGGAAAGCUUAGAGAUAAAGCUACGUUUCUCAUAUUUUUCCAGAAUUUUCUAGGAAGUGGAACUACCCCAAAAAGUGCGUGCAAAUUGAAUGAUGUGUUUCCAAGUCAAAGAAGGAUUCUUUCCUAGUUUGUUUCCUUAAUUGUUUGAGAUUUUAUUUUGCUUUAGGAGAGUUUUUCUAGACCUUUUUGAAGUAUGGUUUAGUUGUUUUAUACUAUAUAAGGUCACCCUAGGAUCCUUUCAUACCAUCAUCUUUUCCAUCAUCUUCCCAUACACAACUUUCAUACACCCACAAAUAUAUCAGAGAGAGAGCCAAGAAUUCGUUGUGUUGCUGUGGAGAAUCCAGAGAUCAAAUCCAUCAGCCAAAUCGGUUUUUUGACAAUAAUUCUCUUAUUUAUCUUUUCUUUUGUCAUGAACUAAUUUUCCUUGCUAGGGCUACGAUGUAGCCUAACCAUGAAUACUUAAUUUUUAUAGUUAUAUUAAUUUUUUAUUACUAUUCCAUGUUGAGUAUUUGUUAUUGUUCUUAAUGCUUUGAAUAUCUGGCCAAUAUUUAAUUGAUUUGAUGAUCCAAGUGGAGACCGAGAGGAGAUGUUUGGUGUUUGCUUCUUAAAACAGAUACCAUGUCUUGAAUGAGUGCCCGAGAGGGACUAACAUGACUCAUUUAGUUUUCUUGCAGGUUCUCAUAGAACUUAAUGGGUUCUUGAUUUUCUAAAUCCGUUGCUCGAGAGAGAAUGGGUUGUUAAUUAAGAAUACUUUUGGUUGAGCCCGAGAGGGGAUAUCAAAUGAAUUAGGAGAAACCAACUGUCAACAUGGGUAGUAAUUAGGGUUAAUUGGCUAUAAGAAUUAAGUGGAAUUCGUUAUGGUGAAAUCGGAUGCUCAAUUUCUCAUCAACUUGAUUUUCUAUCAUUAAUUAAAUUGCUAUUUUUCAUAAUUAUUUUAGGUUACUUAAAUCAAUUAAUCUUCUUAAUCAAUUGUUCAAAUAAACUUUUGAAUUAAUCAUAAUUAGUAAUUAAUAGGAAAUUACAGUCUUCGUGGUAACGUCACUCUACUUAUUUCUAUAUUACUUGAACGAAUUUUGUGCUUGCAAUAAUUCCACAACAGUCACCAUAUAAUAAAUAUGAGGUAGAGAAUUUUAAACGUUUGGACCAGGGACGGAGCCAUGAAAAGAAUUCGAUGGGGGUAUCUCAUUAAAGUUUCACAAUGAUCAACUUCAUGCUUGUGAUAAGUGGCAGCUAAUAAAAUUUCAGUAAUGGGUGAAACCAAAAUUUUUUGCAGGUGCCGUUUCUAGUCACAUCAAGUCAUUCAAAAGUGGAAACAAUGGCCAGAGACACCACACCAAGUCAGGCAAAAAUAGAAAGAAAAAAAAAAUAGCCAGAGACACCGCACCAAAGUCAGGAAAAAAUGGGAAAAAAAAUGAAGGUCUAUGUUCAGUUGAUAUGAAGAACAUGGAAAACAAAUGGAAAUAAAAAUAGAAAGGAAGAAAAAGAGGAGUGUACAUUUUCAAUGGUUCUUGAGAGGAGAGAAAGAGCUGAGAAAAAAAAUAAGAAAAAAAAACCAAGAAAAAGGGAUGACAUAGACUGCGCUUGCUCCUUGCUCCUUGCUGAUCAGUCAAUUGGAUACCUGCUUGAAGCUAUUCUUUCUCUUUACUGCCCUGCCCGGAAGAUCCGUGAUUUUGAUGUCUAGAAGAGAAGAAAAAUGGGUUUUGUCAUCAAAAUAGGAGAAAAGGGACUGGACACAGUUUUUUGGAAUUUACAAAGGGCAUGAAUGACAAAACUCUAGGUUAUUUUAUAACUUCUACGCUGAAGACCUCUCUUUUUUAUGUAUAUAUGAAAACAAUGGGAAGUCAGUGUAGGCCAUGGCCUAUUGUGGGCACAAGGUGAAAUUGAUUCAUCUCUUUUAAAAGCAAAAAUCUAAACCAAUCAAAGAGAUGAGUGGGGGCGUCCGCACACAAUGAACCUAUGCUGGCUCCGUCCUAGGUUUGGACCAUAUAUUAGAUAUUGGGAUCAUAUAUAAAGCACCGGUAUAUAUUAGACUAGAACGUUGUAUAUCAUCUAAAUUCGAUCAUUUUCCUUGCAGUUAGGUAUCGAGAUGACCUGACAGUGAGGUAUUAAAUUAGGAUGCUAUAUUAUACAAGGGUCGCCCCAACUUUCUCCAAACACAGUGAGGAUUUAUUAGGGAUUGUCGGCACUGUGCGCAAUUUGAAUCCCUCUGGUGUACACGUUAGAGAUAACUGAGAGCACUCCUCAUAUAGUAUAACAUCAUUUUCAUGCAGUUGAACGCAUAUAUUGUGAUGGCACUGAUUGAAGUAAGACAUUAUUAACUUAGGACGCGCAUUAUAUAAUGGCCAACUUUCUGCAGACUGAUGUCAUGCAACGAACGAUCAACCUUCUUGUAAUAAAAUGGGGCUUUUAAGCACGGUUUUCGAUAAGUCCUGUGUAGAGUUCUGGGGGAGGAAAUGGAAUAUACAAGACAUAUGCGUAGUGGUCGUGUUUUUGGCUUUGCAUUGCCUUUGUUUAUUUGCACCCCUUCAUUUCAACUGGCGUGCAUUUUGGGUGGCUAUGGCUCUCUCUCUUUUGACUGGUUUAGGAGAGACUCUCUCUUACCACAGAAAUCUUGCCCACAGGAGUUUCACUCUUCCAAAAUGGCUCGAGUACUCCUUUGCCUACUGUGGGGUUUUGUCACUUCAGGUAUAUAAUAGGUACAUACAUGAAAUUAUUCUUAUACAUCGAUAAAUAAAAAAUAAAUAAAAGAAAGGUGUGACUGGAAAAGGAUUUCUUGUGAUGAAGAACGUUUCUCACCUUUUUUUUUUUUUUUUUUCACUGUAUUAGCUAUAGCUGUUACUUAGUAGAAAGAUAAAAAUAUGUUUGUGCGUGCGUGUUUGGGUUUGCAGGGUAGUCCGAUUGAAUGGGUGAGUACACACCGGUUCCACCAUCAGUUUACUGAUACAGAGAAAGACCCUCACAGCCCCAUCAAGGGUUUUUGGCAUAGUCACAUGGGUUGGAUCUUUGAUAGCAGUUGUCGGUUUGGACAAGUAGAAAACAAAUCUCUCUCUCUCUCUCUCUCUCUCUCUCUCUCUCUCUCUCUCUCUCUCUCUCUCUCAUACAUACUUCGUCAUUUUUAUAUAAAUGAGAAAUUUGCAGUAUGGGGGGGCCUAAAGAACGUUGAAGAUUUGAAGAAGCAGCUCUUCUAUAGGUUUCUUCGUCAUACUAACCUUCUACAUUCAGUUCUUCUUGGAGGUUUACUAUAUGCUGCGGGUGGAUUUUCCUUCUUGGUUUGGGGAAUGGUGAGAUUGGUUACUUACUGGUUAAUUUCCAUUAAAUUUAAAUGAGAACAUAUGGUCUUUAAAAAUUUAUAUCCAAAAGUAAGUAAAGUGGAAACUGUAUAUACCAUCCAUGUGGUUCACGUAAGUCGAUUUGCUUUUUGUACAUUCAUAUUUCGUGGUACGUGCUUGCAAUAGAGUCUAAAAACUACUCGCAAAUUCUUCUCACAAAUUUAUCAUUAUAUAACCUCUUUCUUUAUAUAAUGGUCCUGGACGUGCAUCUUUGACUCCUCGUUUAUAUACAUACAAUUUUUAAUUAAACAACCUAUGCUAAUUAAUGAGUCAAUAAAUACAUUAUGGGAUGAGGAAGUAUAUAUGAAAGUUCAAACUGUGGAAUUUAAAACCUUGUGAUGGCAUAUGUGUACUUAGUCAAGUUAAUUAGAGUCGAUGUGCUCCCCACUCUUUACCCGAGUUCAAAUCCUCCUCCUCGUAGUUUAAAUUAGAUUAAAGUAAAAAAAAUUCACAUAUAGCAUAAAACCCACUUAAAAAGACACAAAUACCCUCAAAAUUAAAACUCACAUAAACCUAAAAAAUUUCUAAGUAAAAUCGAUUGCUUGAAUCUCCACACGAAAUUCCUUCCCUUCUUCUUUAACUAACUUCUCAAAUUGUUUCACUGCAAUGAGUUUUUUUUCCCUAUGUUUAAACUCCUUUUGUAAACUCUCCCAACGGCACUUUCCCAAUUCUUGUUUGUGGUAGUAAUGACCAUGGUAAUUGGACUCUUGAGGAUAUUUAUUAGAUUGGUGUUGCUCUGAGUGUUGUUUAUAGUGUUACUUGUUAUGAUGCCGACCUUGAAGACAGCCGUGAUGGACUCCUUGAGAUCCCUUCGGACAUGUCUGAGUGGUAAGUUUUGUUUGGCACAAAUAUUACUCACACCAUAGAAAACAGCAGCCCCGCCAUUGCAGUCUUUCAAACAAGACCUUUAUAUCCACACAAAUUAGCCAAAAACCUGCUUGAUCAAACAUAAGCAAUUAAUACACAACAAAAAUAUAUUAAUUUUGAGAUGUUCAAACAAAACUUGUAAAGUCUAGUAAGAGAUGAUCACCUUCAAAAGAUUAAAUUUCUUUUUACUUUUAGGUUUAUAUGAGUUUUAAUUUUGAGGAUAUUUGUGUCUUUUUAAGUGGAUUUUCCGCUACAUCUGAAAGUUUUUAUACAAACUGAUAUUUGUGAAAAUAAUUGUCAAAUUUUAACUAUUUUUUAUAAAGACUCGGUGGUGGGGGUGCCGAAGGUGGUUUUGUUUUUGGCUAUAUGUGGUUUUUUAUAUAUUAAAAUCAUAUUGUUUUGAGAUUUUUAAGAAACAAAAUUUAGGAGAAUUUGGACAUAAAAUUUACGACCUUUUCAUAUUCUAAAUUUCUUUCAUGCUGAAUUUAAAACUUCUUCAUUUAUCAACCCAAUUAAUAAAUAAAUUAUAAUAUAUCAUUCCUUUAAACACGAAUUUUUUCUAAAUACCAUGUUUAACUUCUCCAUCCAAAUAUGUUCUAAAUCUAAAUUCCUUAUAAUUUCAGGGGUUGAGGAUGGUACUUAUUUUCCACGGCACUUUUCUAGUUAAUUCAGCGGGCCACAUGUGGGGAAAGAAACCAUGAAACACGGGUGAUACGUCUAGGAACAAUUGGUAUAUUGUAUUAUUUAUUUCCCACUCUGCCAUAUUUCAUCUUGCUAGAUGUAAAAUUGGGAUAUUAAUAUAUUUUAUGCAUAAUCUUUAAUAAUUUAGGUGGGUGACACUGUUAACGUUUGGAGAAGGGUGGCAUAAUAACCACCACGCUUUUGAAUACUCAGCUCGACAAGGGCUAGAAUGGUGGCAAUUUGAUUUUACUUGGUACAUAAUAAAAUUUCUUCAAGCUAUUGGAUUGGCAACAGAUGUGAAGGUCCCAACUCAAAUUCAAA